GUUGAUUUUUGAGUUGACUUUUUAGUGUAAAAUUAAAAAGUCGACGUCUUAUUAUUCGAAAUUGUUUUCUAUGGAUUUUAAUUAUUUUAUAAAAUUAUAUUUGCUAGAUUUGAGCCGUCUGGAAGUCGUUUCACGCGAGAAUGCCAUUUUAGAGUAUCUACCUAACUUCGUAAAGUUAAGUAUCUUGCCUAACAUUUUGUGAGGGAAACUACCCCUUAGGUUUGAGAUAAUUAUGUUAUUUGUGGUAUGUGAAAGUCGUGUGCGCGAGGUGGCGAGUGGGUACACGGCCUAUAUGUGGUAAUUGACCGGUUUCGAGCAUCUAUAUACUUCCCGUGCCUUUACUUGAUAUUUUGCACUCUUAUGCUUUAGUUGAAGAUGUUGCCUUCCUUAUUGUAUCGUGACCUCUUAAUUGUUGAGUUCCUUCUAUGACUCUGUGCUUAUCUGCUACCUGUACUAAUUGUUGUGAUUGCACAUCUUAGUUAUCAUGUGCCUUACUUGUCUUGUCAUUUUUGUAAGUUUUUUGUAUUCCUUUGAUUUUUACAUAAUUCCUUUAUUGCCGUGUACUCAUACCCUUGAUUGUAGAAAUUCCUGUAAAUUGAGUUAUUGAAUUAUUUGUGUUGAUUUAAAUUAUUAUGGAUUGGGUUGGACGCUGCAACAGGUGGAAUAAGGGAGAAUUCAUAUUGAUACGGUGGGAUCGGGUUGCGCGCCGCUACAUGUGAAAUAAGGGUGGAUUGAUAUGGUGAAAUACGGGUGAAUUAUGAAAUUGACUCUGAUUAUAUGGUGGGGUUGGGUUGCGCGCUGCAACAUAUAUUUAGUUAUUAUUAUUGAUAUUUACAUGGUGGGAUAAGGGUGGAUAGUGUUGUACGAUGGGACGGGUUGCGUGCCGCAACAGUUUAUAUGUUUUGUAUUCCUUGUUAUAUUGUGUUGGCUUUGGUUCUUUCGUACGAGACUCUGUGGAUUUGGUAGUACUGGUUUUUACUAGUUUUUGAGGAUUGAGUUGUUUUUCAUUGAUUUUAUGCCUCGCCGUCACUUCGUGUUUUUUUUUCCUCACUAUUAUUUUGCUGAAUUGAUUUUAAAGAUAAAUUUACUAUGCUGAGUCAUUUUCUCAUAUCCUUCUGAGUUGUUAGUAACAUAGUGGUUUUAAAUAAAAGAAUUAAUAACAUGUUUACCUUAUGUGACUCUUAAUUUAGCACUCGUCAUUUCAUUCGGUACUUUACUAUUUUUAAUAGUCGUCAUAUUUCACUUUAAUCGAUUUAUCAAGUUAAUCUCCUUACCCUAUCUGAUGUUUCUACCUUACUUGAAAAGGAAGUGUUAUUAUUUUUUAAUUUAAUAAAUUCUAUAUUCAAUCAGUAACUUACCAGAUACUUUAUUUUAAUUGAAAAUAUUAUUUCCUUCACCCAAAUAAUUUCAAAAAUAAACUCAUUUUUCUCAAUUGAUUUACUAUUUUAUACUAUGUUGUUAUUUUGCUUUAAUGUAUGAGAUUAAAUCUCCUGAAUAUUUUAAAGUAAUAUCUAAUACGGGUACAAGAUACAUGGUAGCACGUGGAUUUUGCUGUGCGAAACUGAUUUGAAAAAAUAUGGGCACAAGGUGCCAUGUGUGUAAGGUUUGGAAGUUAUGACUUAAAAUCUGAGAUUACAAGAUGUGAUACUCGGGGUAAUUCUUAUUGAAAUCCGUGCAUUUAGAAUGAUUUGAUUGACUGAGCUGUCAUCGGUUUCCCUUACCUGAACACAUUCACAUUGCUUCUGUACCCCGACUAUGUUAUUGUGUAAUUACUUGGAUGUUCUCAUUGCCUUUCGUGCUCCCCUUAUUUUUAUUGUUGAUUGUGAUUUGAAAUCUUUCUGUAUUUGGCCUCAUAUUGAUAUUUCUUUCUUGUUAGUUUCAUGUCAUAUCCUGCACGGGUGUUUCAUGUCCGAUCCAGGUACUUAUGAUCGAAUUGGUUGAAGACUUAUGUCUGCGCUGCUGGAAACUUCAAGGUAUAUAUGUUCGACGUUCGCAGGCCCCGAAGUCACUUUUUGUUGUAAUUUAUUUCCAUUGUUUCCUAUUAUUCCGGCACAAUGAUGUACUUCUUAUUUAUAGUUACUCUUAGAAAGGCUUGUGACUUGUAAUAUCGGUUUUGGAAUUUUGUAACUGAGGUUGGUUGACUAUGUUGUUACAUAAAUUAUUUAAUUUAUUGUAGUUAAGUUAGUUAAAUUU
Molecule: long non-coding RNA, 2193 nt
Organism: Nicotiana tabacum (common tobacco)
Lineage: Eukaryota; Viridiplantae; Streptophyta; Magnoliopsida; Solanales; Solanaceae
Source: RefSeq, a predicted model, not a curated record